GUUGCUGUUUUUUUUGGUGGUCUGUCUAUCAAGAAGGAUGAAGAGGUGCUGAAGAAGAACUGCCCGCAUAUCGUCGUGGGGACUCCAGGCCGUAUCCUAGCCCUGGCUCGAAAUAAGAGCCUCAACCUCAAACACAUUAAACACUUUAUUUUGGAUGAAUGUGAUAAGAUGCUUGAACAGCUCGACAUGCGUCGGGAUGUCCAGGAAAUUUUUCGCAUGACCCCCCACGAGAAGCAGGUCAUGAUGUUCAGUGCUACCUUGAGCAAAGAGAUCCGUCCAGUCUGCCGCAAGUUCAUGCAAGAUCCAAUGGAGAUCUUCGUGGAUGAUGAGACGAAGUUGACGCUGCAUGGGUUGCAGCAGUACUACGUGAAACUGAAGGACAACGAGAAGAACCGGAAGCUCUUUGACCUUCUGGAUGUCCUUGAGUUCAACCAGGUGGUGAUCUUUGUGAAGUCUGUGCAGCGGUGCAUUGCCUUGGCCCAGCUACUAGUGGAGCAGAACUUCCCAGCCAUUGCCAUCCACCGUGGGAUGCCCCAGGAGGAGAGGUGAGCUGAAGAUGGGAAAGAU
RNAcentral lists this unclassified non-coding RNA (567 nucleotides) under Homo sapiens (human). RNAcentral describes it as "DExD-box helicase 39B (ENSG00000237889.11)". Lineage: Eukaryota; Metazoa; Chordata; Mammalia; Primates; Hominidae. The record is from RNAcentral.